GAAAAGAAACCAACAGGGAUUGCCUCAGUAACGGCGAGUGAAGCGGCAAAAGCUCAAAUUUUAAAGCUGGCACCUCCGGUGUCCGCGUUGUAAUUUUGUGAGGCAUCUCCGGGUGGGGCGCCGGCCUAAGUUCCUUGGAACAGGACGUCAUAGAGGGUGAGAAUCCCGUGCUUGGCUGGCUGUCCCCGUCCAUGUGAGGUGUUUUCGACGAGUCGAGUUGUUUGGGAAUGCAGCUCAAAAUGGGUGGUAAAUUUCAUCUAAAGCUAAAUAUUGGUGGGAGACCGAUAGCGCACAAGUAGAGUGAUCGAAAGAUGAAAAGCACUUUGAAAAUAGAGUUAAAAAGUACGUGAAAUUGUUGAAAGGGAAGCGCUUGAGACCAGACUUCGGUGGGGAGUGAUCAGCCGUCCUUCUGGGCGGUGCACUUGCCCCCCUCCGGGCCAGCAUCGGUUGGGACGGCGGGAUAAAGGUCCCGGGAAUGUGGCUCCUCUCGGGGAGUGUUAUAGCCCGGGUGAAUGCCGCCAGCCCCGACCGAGGACCGCGCC
RNAcentral lists this ribosomal RNA (542 nucleotides) under Morchella americana. Its description in RNAcentral is "eukaryotic LSU rRNA". It matches the Rfam family "Eukaryotic large subunit ribosomal RNA", at positions 56 to 600 of the family's 3401-position model. The record is from RNAcentral. Lineage: Eukaryota; Fungi; Ascomycota; Pezizomycetes; Pezizales; Morchellaceae.